RNAcentral lists this long non-coding RNA (1272 nucleotides) under Cyanistes caeruleus (blue tit). RNAcentral describes it as "lncRNA (ENSCCEG00000023214.1)". Lineage: Eukaryota; Metazoa; Chordata; Aves; Passeriformes; Paridae. The record is from RNAcentral.
UUUUUCACAUUGCAUCCUGUAGGUACACUUGAGGAAAUGGAGAUUUGGAUAGCUGGGAGAGAGAGAAAGGACCAGUGGCUUUCCUAAGAUGAACCAGUGGCUUGACAAGGCAGGGGAGCAGCAUUUGUUCCUUUGCUUUGCACUCCUGCACUCUGGUGGAUGCACCACGCAACUUUCAGACCUGCUUCAUUUUGAGCAAGAGAUACGCUCAAAACCAUCAGUGGAAUCAAGAAUUCCAGAGUAUAAAAUCAUGGACAGCCUCAAUAAACCACUUGAGCUGAUCUUGAACUCUGAACUCCAACUUCAGGGCACAUUUUGUAACAGAUAAAUGCUAAUUGCUCAGUGUACUGGGCUAACCACGGUGGGCACUCAGGCACCACAGAGCUGCUCCCUCACUUCGACCCUUACCCUGCCUGUGGUUCAGGAGAGGAAAAUGAGAAGCAAGGAAUGUUGGGGGUGAAAAAACACUAAAAAACUGUUUAAUAAGUGACUGAUAAGUGGAAAAAGAGGUAAGAAGGCAACAAAAAAAGAUUAAAAGGCAAUAAUUCCCCCCUCCCAUGGGUAACCCAGCCACUUCCUGAGGAAAAGACAGGCCAACCCCUAUAAAAUUCCUUGCUUUCCAUUCUGUUGCUGAACACCAUGGACGUUCCAUGCUAUGGAAUACUUUUUUGGUUAAUUUGGGUUAAUUUGGUUAAUUUGGAUUGGUCUGGUUGUGUCCCUCCCAGGUUAUUCUGCCUCUCAGCCUGUUUGGUGGGGGCAGAAUGAGAAGCAGAGGAGCCCUUCUUGCUGAGCAAGCCCUUUUCAGCAAAAGCUGAACAUUAGGGUGUUACCAGCACUGCUUUGCUAUUGCAAUAAGCUCAAACUUUUCAAAAUGGCACAAAUUUUAAAAGAGGUAUCUUGUUUUAUGUUAUGUUUUCCUGUUAAGUGAUGGAGGAUGUUGCCAUUGCAAUGCAUGGCUGAGUUAAUGCACUGUGUUACUGCUUUACAAAACAUCUCAUGCAGGAUAAUGUGAUGUGUAGUUUUAGAGUUUACAUCAGCCUUUUGUAACUGCUGUGCCAUGGUGCCCAAAGUUUGGGUACAAAUUCCCCUUCGAUGUCAUUUGGCAAAGCUGAGACUACUGAGUGGGAAAGGAAACCCUGAAUAGUCAGGAAACAAGCUAAUGAGAUGAAUGGCUUUAAUACUUCUGUCAACCACUCUAAAUCUACUCAUUCUGGAAAUGCAUGCAGUUAUCCUUAAAAUAAAUUGCCUUUAUCUCAUAAUUGUCUCUGCUAA